Coregonus clupeaformis (lake whitefish) is the source of this 3641-nucleotide long non-coding RNA. RefSeq lists it as uncharacterized. The record is from RefSeq and is a predicted model, not a curated record. The transcript has 3 exons. NCBI's taxonomy places the organism in Eukaryota, Metazoa, Chordata, Actinopteri, Salmoniformes, Salmonidae.
AGAUCAACAAACUUCAGGCGACCGGAGGAGGUUUGGUAAAGUUGCAACAUGUUUUUGGUUUAUGUCAUGUAACUGUUGGUUUUUAUAUGUCUCUCCCAAUAUGUUUUUUUUACACUAUGUGUUUGCUUUAUCAGUGGGAUCUCUUUGCAGUAUGUGAUGCAGAAAACUAACAGACUGUGUGAUGGCAUUGGCAGAUGAGCUGGAUGAAAAAUGUCCCUGACCCCCCUACAGAUUUGUCAAUGUAGGGCAGAUACAAUUAUAGACCAGCGUUAGUUCAACCUCAUGUGUCUCAGUGUUUCUUAAAGCAACAGUGAUGUAUCCAGGCAUGCCUUGCAACCUGUUCAAAGUGUCAUCUUUCAUUGUGCCUCAUGACAUGUGCCACAUGAAGUGAGGUUUACUCUCACAAUAUUGUUUUGUCUUCUCUUCCGAGCUUUAUUGUUGUUUUGUCUGUAGAGUGACUAAUAUUCUUUCUUUGAAGCACAGGGAUGCAGUUAGUCAUCUUGAAGUUGACAAUUAGAAGUCCCUGAUUUCUUCUGAAUGUGUGAAGAGCUCUGGUCACAGCGCAUAUCGAUACAAAGCCAUAUCCAUGCAGAACCUGUCUGUGUUGAUGGGAGGUUGAUGGUAGGUUCUUGCAGUGCAUUGUCUGCCCCAGCAGGCUCCUGUCCCUCCCUCUACCACCACAGGGUGUGAAGGGGAGAGAUGAGGUGAGGUGAGCCUCAGCCCCAGCCAGCCAGCCACCCUGCAGGGCCCACAUGGCACUUUACACACUGCCAGGGUAAUGACACGGCGUGGGCUCUCAUCGUUACAGGCGCUCCAUCAGGUUUCACUGACAGAGGCAGAGUGAGGCUUUUAAAAUGGAUCUGGGUAACAGUGGGAUCCCCUCUGUCUUGUCCAGACACUGGAAGCUGGAAGGGUUUUCACUCAGUGGCGCUCAAAAUGCCUGCAUUAUGUUCAACCAAGCAUGUUUGACAUGUUGAGGUGAUGUUAAUACAUUACAUAUGUGUAUGUAUGUAGUUCCUAUGUAAUAACAAUGUUUAUUCAUUAUAAUAACCAGAGACAUCGGUUUGAGGGUUAUGACGAAGUACAAUGUGGACUCAUAAUGGAUAAAAUGCGAACAAUUAUUGAUAUCAAGUAAAGCAUUGACCUGUCAAGUCUGGAUGAAGACUUUCACACACCAAAGCCGAUCCAAAUGAGCUCUAUUACAGUAGAUAGACUAAACCUGAAGUGCAGAUGUGUAUAGCUCCAACACUACUGUUUUAUGGCAUUCAUUAUUUCAAAUUCUCCCAAAGUUCCUCCACUGACGCGCUCCAGAGCAUAGAAAUAAGAAUGAAUAGAAUGGGCAUUCCCAUUCAAGUCAAUGAUGGCAUAAUGGGGUGGGCAUGGUGUACCCAUGAGUUUACCAGUCAAAUUGCCAGGUUUAGAGGUUCAAAGCCUAUUAAUUCUUAUUUCUAUGCUCCAGAGCCCUGCAGGCAGUUCAGCUGUUCAUCCAAACAUUCCUGUUCCAGUUUCUGGACACGUUACAGACUGGAAUCAAAUGACUGGACACCUCUGAAUUUCUGAGAGUCGUGUGACUUCACUUCACAAUAUCUACUGUACAUCUGAUUCAUGGGUUGAUGCAUUUACAUAGUGGUGGGUAGACUAUGGGAGUCCUGGGGCAUGACAUCUUCCCACCACCUUACACACAACAACAUGAUGGGGGUUAUUCUUCAGCGAAGAACAGCAUCUGCGGUUUUUCUCAUUUGCUUAACUUUUUAAGGCAUGCAACUGUAGGAGGUACGCUCUGGGAAGAUAAUCAAUGGUGAUGGAAUACAAAAUGGAUCCACAUACUGUAUUAGAAAAACGGAAUACGUAUAUUAGUACAUCAUGUGCUCUUACCAACGUUCAUGUACAAGCCAUAGGAAAUACAAUAGGAAAGCAAAUAUAGGAGCAGUCACUCCAAUCAGUUUUUGAACAACCUUUAGAAACCUGAAGUAUUCCAACACGUUUCUGGGACGGCCUGAUUUUUCCCUAAGGGUGGACAGUUUGUGCAAAUAGGGAGAUAGCAGAGAACCUCUUAUUUUCCAAAGCUUUUUGCCUGGCAAGCUCAAAGCGGGUUAGUUUAGCUCAGCCAUCUGAAGAUUGUGUAAUUGGUCCCUUGAUCAAAGCAGGGUGAUUGAACAGGGCAAUACAGCCAUGGUGUAAAGGGGGAUUGGGCACAAAUCUUGUUUUAUGUCCGUAAAGGAUAUUGGGAUUUGGAAUACCGGUACAUUGCCAUUUAAGUUGGCUUAAUUGGAUGAUGUUGUUGUCCGUUGGUUGUUGUUCUACUCCACUGUAUUUUUUCUAAAAGGCUAUUCCUUUAAACUGUGGUAAAAUCCAGUUUAACAAGGUACUCUACCCUACUGUGCUGAUUGCUUUGACAUAAAUCUCUCCAACAGGAAGACAUUUUCCCUGCAAAAUGUAUGCGUAGUUCCAGCUACUUAUCCAAAGAGCAGAAGAUGAAAUUAAGGCUUGUGUCUCAGUGUGUUGCCACACAUCUCUUUUGUAACUGUCACAACUCUCCAUUAGCAAGUCACAGUAAUGGAAAGAAAGCAACUGCUUUUCUUACAUCAUGGAGAUGCUCUCCUGUCACUUCACGUUAAACAUUCUAAAUAGUUCACACUUUAUUUGAGUUUCUUUUGUGUUUAGGGUUCUAAUAGGAUGAUCCAUUAAUUUGUUUAAAUGCAAAUAAGGUACAGUGUUCAAAUAUGCAUGUCCUGCGUCUGCUGCUGUAGUAGAGGAGAAUAUGUGCUCUACAUUGACCGACUAGACCUAAUUGAAUAAAGGGAACAUAUUCACUCCCUCACAUGACAUGAAGUCCCACAGCUGUCAGGAAGUUGACGAUUCUCAUUAAAUCUGUCUUACCUCAUUCUUCAGUGCUCAAAAGAGAAUAGCACAAAAUGCCUGCCUUAAAAUGGGAAAACUGUGGACUCUGUAGUAGAGUAAAGGUGCACACAAUCCCAUAAAUCAUCAGUCAGAUAUCAAAGCACACCACUGCUAUCUCUGGACAGAUCUCAUACUUUGGAUUUAGAAACACAAAAAAAGUUUACUAAAAUGUCUGUCAAUGGGACAUAGGUUUAUGUAAAGAUAAUUCACAGAGGUGUCCAGUCAGCCUGCUUUACAAGAGUCAAUUAUCACAAAAAUGAGGGAAAAGGUGACAAUAUUGUAAUGUAUUAACAGCCAUUUAUUUGACAUGAAAUGCACAUAAUGUGAAUCUAUGGUAAUGUUUAAUUUGAUUUCCAAACCUAAACUUAUCAUUGUUUUCCCAAUAGGCAAUCCCAACAUGAUUCAACAUAGUCACCUGGAUCUUACCCAGGCCCACACACCUAAAAUUGCCCACAGACAAAUGAGACAUGAGAAGCCCCAUCGCAUGAACAACAUCCUGACCUCACAGACAGAGCCGUACGACCUGGACAUGUCCUUCUCACGCUCCUUCCAGAACCUCACCCACCUGCCUCCCAACUACGAGCUGGCGGCAAUGAGCAAAGCUGACUUAAGUAAAUACUCCUCUCUCCACAAAUUAAGUAGGUGGUCUUUCAUUACAUACACCAUCGUGUUUGCUUGAUCUCCUGCCUGGACCCUGCCAGUACACAGGGGGGAGAAAAGGUUGAUCUUAGCACAUUGCG